AAUUAUUAUGUAUUUAAUUAAGGUUUUAAAUUUUUAUUUUUUCAAUUUUUUUUUAUUAUAUAAGAGGAAGAAGGGGAAACAAAAGGGGAAUUGUGGGAACUAACACCUAGUAUGUGAGAAUUUCACAUGAAAUCCACGUAAAUUCUAUUUCAAAUAAAAGUCUCAAAAGUCUUUUAAAUUCCAUAAAAAUCUAUAAAUAUUUUAAAUUGAAAAUUCAUAAAAGUCUACGAAAGACUUCCACUAAUUCCAUACAAAUCUAUAAAAGAUCCAAGAAAGCCACAAAAGUCACCACUUCAAAAAAGUCCAUCAA
RNAcentral lists this long non-coding RNA (310 nucleotides) under Olea europaea subsp. europaea. Lineage: Eukaryota; Viridiplantae; Streptophyta; Magnoliopsida; Lamiales; Oleaceae. The record is from RNAcentral.